Triticum aestivum (bread wheat) is the source of this 125-nucleotide non-coding RNA. The record is from Rfam. NCBI's taxonomy places the organism in Eukaryota, Viridiplantae, Streptophyta, Magnoliopsida, Poales, Poaceae.
CAUGUACUACCUCUGUCCCGAAUUACUUGUAUUAGAAAAGGAUAAAAAUGGAUGUAUUUAAUACUAAAAUACAUUUAAAUACAUCCAUUUCUGCGACAAAUAAUUCCGGACGGAUGGAGUAUUUU